Molecule: long non-coding RNA, 359 nt
Filed under: Capsella grandiflora
Lineage: Eukaryota; Viridiplantae; Streptophyta; Magnoliopsida; Brassicales; Brassicaceae
Description: long non-coding RNA (CGRA_LNC001649)
Source: RNAcentral
UUUUCUAUUAAAUGUUAUGUGGGAAUAAUCCUUAAAACCCAAAAAAAAAAAAUUUAACUUAGAAAAAGAGAGUUCCUACUAAAGCAUAACAAAGUGACAAAGAAAAACAAAGAGAAAAUCGAUUUUUUGUGCGAACAGAUCCUUCUCUUCUCUUUUGCUGUCUCUUCGUCUCAUGGAGCGUAAUUCGCCGGCUACUGGUAAAGCGGUUAUAACUCUCAAAACCGUCAUUCUUAGUAAUUUUUAUUAGCCAUGUGUUUGUCUCUGGAUCAACCAAAUAGUUCAGAGUGGAACUUUAUUUCCCCUGUUCUUAUUACUAAUGGCGAACAAAAUCAUGCGCCAAAUGCAACAUAUUGCACUUG